GGGGACCGGAGCAUGACGACUAAGGGCCUGGGCAGGACCUAAGGGGACAGGCAUUCCUUUACUGCGAAGCUGGCUUUGUCUGAUGCAGGCAUCCCCAAGCAAGGGUGCGCUGUCUCUCGCUGGAGGGCCUCCCCUCUGCAGGGGUAGAUUCCUGUGACUCAGCUUUCAGGCCAGUGGAGGGCCUUCGCCCCACCCCAGGCCUUUUUGUCUCCUCGCUUGCGUUCUCCCAGACUUGGGGGGAAGGUAAAGCACCUUUAAGUCAUUAAAAACAAAAAUGUUUCAUCACUGUAACAUCCAUAUUUUUUUCAUCGCUCUAAUUUUUGUGAGCACCCAAAUAGAACAACCGUAAUAUUUGCUGGGUGGAGGGUAAUUUAUCCGGAGUUUAUAGAGUACAACGCCUUCCCCUUAGAAGAAAAGUCAAGUUCAAGCUCUACUGUUGACUUGCUGCCUGACAAUGAGGAAGUUCUUUUACUUUUCUGUUCCUUAUUUUCCUAAAUUACAAAAGUGAUUGCUAAGGAGGCCAGUGUUGAAUGCCCAAGACUGCAAUCCCAUUAUCUCUAAAAUCUUAAGAUUAAAUUUAAAAAUCGAACUCCCUAUUUUGAAGGGAGCCUUUCCAGCGCAAGCCAUUUUCGAAGCGCGCUUCUCAAUGCAUGUCCGGAAACCGGGGAGAUUUACGUGGAGAGGAGCAGUUUUCCAAAUGGCAUCUGACUCUGUGCGCACCGCUCCCCUGCAGCUGAAAUUCGUUACAAAUUACCCCCCUGUUGCUGAAAAGAGUACAAAUAGCAAGCCUGCGCCUGCAAAUGGCAGGUGAAGGGAAAAAGGCCCACAGCUUGCAAAAGGCCUACUUGAGAUUAUUUUGAGACGCGAAGGGGUAUGCCCAAUUCUCCUUAUCCUUUCUGCAUCCUGAGGAAAUGUUUCCAGAAACCCCUUGCUAAUCGUGUUUAUGACAGAGGCUUUUGUCUCCCUGGGGAUUAGAGUCAAGUGUCACAUAGACCCUUAGAAGCCACUGCAGGAGCAGCUUGGACUUCCCCAUUUCUUCAUCCACUUGACUUCCUUCUUCCUGGGGGGGAGGGGGAGCUGGCCAGGGGCAGAUGACUGGUUCCCCGGUUCAUGCUCUGGUGGGUGGCUGCCAUUCUGCUCUCCCAGUGGGGGCACUGGACCUUUUCGUGCAGGCACAGGCUGUCACCUCUCUGGUUACACGUCCCCCUGACCCCACCCUAGUUGACUGGCCUGAGAGUCCACUUCGUUGUGGAAACUCAGGAAGGAUGGCACAGGGUGAAUUCGGGGCCGUCUUCAGCGGGCAGGUUAUUUUUUCCUGCCUGAGGGCUGCCUGCAGCGGUCAGCGAUCAUCAGAAUUGACUGGCAUGUAUCAAAGCCAAUGAAGGAGCAAGCCCUUCCAGCAUCUCCGCCCACUUCCCCAGUUCUCUCUGACGCCUGCACUCACUGGGACCUUCUCAGAGGAAGAAUGCCAGAGACAUAAUUUCCAUCAAAGCAAGAAAAGGAGGAUGUCAGCCUCUCACACAAAGGCCAAACACAGGGCAAAUGAAAGCACCAGCAAAAGGACACUUGCGUUCCAAGUUUACACUGUGCAGCCAGGACUCAAUUGUCUGAGUUGGUAAAGAUGAAAUAGACAGUCGAGAUCCAUCAAUGCUAAUUUCCAAAUCUCACUUUAACGAAUAGAUUCAACUAAAGAUUUCAAAGUUAAUCAUAUUCUUCAAAAAGUUAAGCAUUGAAUUACCAUAUGACCCAGCAAUUCCACUCCUAGGUAUAUAUCCAAAAGAAUCAAAAGCAUGUAUUCAAACAAAUACUUGUACUCUUGGUCAUAGCAGUACUAUUUCAAUAGCCUGUGUCCAUCAAUAGAUGACUGGAUAAACAAAAUGUGGUCUAGCCACGUGAUGGAACAUUAUUCAGCCAUAAAAAAGACGGAAGUCCUGAUGCAUGCUUCUACAUGGAGGAACCUUGAAAACAUGCUGUGUGAAAGAAGCCAGACACAAAAGACCGCAUGUUGUAUGAUUCUAUUUACGUGAAACAUCCAGAAUAGGCAAAUCCAUGGAGAGAGAAAGGAGAUUAGGGGUUGCCAGGGGCUGAGGGGAGGGAGGAAAGGGGAGUGAUUACUUAAUAGGUACAAGGUUUCAUUUUAGGGUGAUGAAAAUGUUUGGGAACUGGAUAGAGGUGGUGGGUGCACAACAUUGUAAAUGUACUAGAUGCCCUGAAUUGGUCACUUUCAAAUGGUUAAUUUUAUGUUACGUGAAUUUUACCACAAUAAAAAAAUGCAAAAAAGGAAAAAAGAAAGAAAAGUAAAUCAUAGUCCCAUUUCCUCACACCCUAGUGUCUUGUUAUGAGGAGACAGGAGAGGAGUCAGGAGUGGAGUGAGUUUCUGGGUUUUUAACUCUUUUCUGCCAUGGCAAUUUGAUGAAGCCUACAGAUCCUUUCUUAGAAUUAUGUGAAUGCAGAAAAUAAAAAGCCUGGAUUAUGAAUUAAAGCAAUUAUACUUCAUACAGUUACCGAAAGAGUUUUAGACAUUGUGAGAUAGUCCUAUAUGUGCAUCUUUAUGCAUUAAAUAACACAAGCAAGCAGUAGGUCUCAUAUCCAGCAUAAAUUCAAAAUGGUGAUCAGUGUGUAGAUAGCUGCAAAACAGGAACAGACAUAAAAAUCUCUGUGAUUUCUGUUGUUGAUACAAUCACAGGAACUGCUAACCGUGCAGAGUCCCAACAUUCUUUAUGGACUGAACGCUUGUCUGAAUGAAGGCAGCUGUCUAUAAGCCAGGAAGCCGGGCCUCGCCAGGAACUGAAUUGCACCUUGAUCUUGGACUUUCCAGCCUCCAGAAGUGUGAGAAAUAAAUGUCUGCUGUUUAAGGCGCCCAGUCUAUGGUAUUUUGUUACAGCAAGCCGAGCUAAGAGACUUGCCUACAUGCAAACUUGGAGGAAGUGCUAACGCCCAGCCCAGUUAGAGGCGAAUGAAAAUAAAGAUGUGAUUUUUUUCCCGUUCUAAGUUCAUGGACUCCCUCCAUUUUCUCCAAAGAUCUCUUGGUUGUCUGUGCAGCCCAGUCCAUCUAAGGGAGGGAUAUCUCGAACUAGAGAAAGUCACCAACAGGGUUUCUGAGAGAGAAUGGAAGCGAUGGCCUGGCUCUCAAGAACUGGAUAAACCACAGAUAUCUCUGCUCUUGAAAUUUAAUUUACCAUUUCCGCAUGUUCUCUGCAUGGCCUAAGUUCCACAGUCUAUACCAGCAGCUUACCUAAAAGGGUUUAGGCAGCAGCUCAGAGGAACCGGUAAAUUGGACAACGGUUGAGGAAAAAAACAAAAACAGCUUAUAGGUGUCACCUUACAUUUUGGGCUGUAGUAAUUCCUUACGUAAUACAACUUGUAUUUAGAUGG
This is a non-coding RNA of Equus caballus (horse), 3375 nucleotides long. The record is from RefSeq and is a predicted model, not a curated record. Lineage: Eukaryota; Metazoa; Chordata; Mammalia; Perissodactyla; Equidae.